GAUGAAGAACGCAGCGAAAUGCGAUAAGUAAUGUGAAUUGCAGAACUCAGUGAAUCAUCGAAUCUUUGAACGCACAUUGCGCCCCCUGGCUUUCCGGGGGGCAUGCCUGUUCGAGCGUCAUUGCUGCCCUCAAGCACGGCUUGUGUGUUGGGCUUCCGUCCCUGGCAACGGGGACGGGCCCAAAAGGCAGUGGCGGCACCAUGUCUGGUCCUCGAGCGUAUGGGGCUUUGUCACCCGCUCCCGUAGGUCCAGCUGGCAGCUAGCCUCGCAACCAAUCUUUUUAACCAGGUUGACCUCGGAUCAGGUAGGGAUACCCGCUGAACUUAAGCAUAUCAAUAAGCGGAGGA
Molecule: unclassified non-coding RNA, 347 nt
Filed under: soil metagenome
Description: partial contains 5.8S ribosomal RNA, internal transcribed spacer 2, and large subunit ribosomal RNA
Rfam family: 5.8S ribosomal RNA (bases 1-120)
Source: RNAcentral